GGGGCCGUAGCCCAACGGCAGAGGCACAUGGUUUAGGUCCAUGCCAGUGUGAGUUCGAAUCUCACCGGCCCCACC
Molecule: transfer RNA, 75 nt
Filed under: Actinocatenispora thailandica
Lineage: Bacteria; Bacillati; Actinomycetota; Actinomycetes; Micromonosporales; Micromonosporaceae
Also listed under: 3 other names
Description: tRNA-Leu
Rfam family: tRNA
About the family: Transfer RNA (tRNA) molecules are approximately 80 nucleotides in length.
Source: RNAcentral